CUGGCGGCGUGCCUAUACAUGCAAGUCGAACGCUUUGUCUUUAACUGAUAUGAAGAGCUUGCUCUGAUUUGAUUUUAUCUGACAAAGAGUGGCGAACGGGUGAGUAACACGUGGGUAACCUACCUCUUAGCAGGGGAUAACAUUUGGAAACAAGUGCUAAUACCGUAUAAUACCAACAACCGCAUGGUUGUUGGUUGAAAGAUGGUUCUGCUAUCACUAAGAGAUGGACCCGCGGUGCAUUAGCUAGUUGGUAAGGUAACGGCUUACCAAGGCAAUGAUGCAUAGCCGAGUUGAGAGACUGAUCGGCCACAAUGGGACUGAGACACGGCCCAUACUCCUACGGGAGGCAGCAGUAGGGAAUCUUCCACAAUGGGCGCAAGCCUGAUGGAGCAACGCCGCGUGUGUGAUGAAGGGUUUCGGCUCGUAAAACACUGUUAUAAGAGAAGAACGGCACUGAGAGUAACUGUUCAGUGUGUGACGGUAUCUUACCAGAAAGGAACGGCUAAAUACGUGCCAGCAGCCGCGGUAAUACGUAUGUUCCAAGCGUUAUCCGGAUUUAUUGGGCGUAAAGCGAGCGCAGACGGUUAUUUAAGUCUGAAGUGAAAGCCCUCAGCUCAACUGAGGAAUGGCUUUGGAACUGGAUGACUUGAGUGCAGUAGAGGAAAGUGGAACUCCAUGUGUAGCGGUGAAAUGCGUAAAUAUAUGGAA
Molecule: ribosomal RNA, 708 nt
Filed under: Weissella paramesenteroides
Lineage: Bacteria; Bacillati; Bacillota; Bacilli; Lactobacillales; Lactobacillaceae
Description: bacterial SSU rRNA
Rfam family: Bacterial small subunit ribosomal RNA
Source: RNAcentral